Long non-coding RNA from Lolium perenne, 957 nucleotides. RefSeq lists it as uncharacterized. NCBI's taxonomy places the organism in Eukaryota, Viridiplantae, Streptophyta, Magnoliopsida, Poales, Poaceae. The record is from RefSeq and is a predicted model, not a curated record.
GCGACAGGGCCGCGCUGAAGCACGAGCCCAUCUUGACCGGCCGGACGCCCCAUGUGACCGAUCGAUCGAUCGAUCCAACAUAGGCUCUCUCUUGUAUGAUCCCUUCUAUAUAAGCGUGCGCAGGGCUGGGUGCCCCUCCAUGGAUGGAGCCCGUCUUUGAGUGUGCGUCAAGAAGUGAGGCGAGUGCCCGAGAGAAAGCGUGAAGCUGCCAGCAUGAUCUAACCUCCCAAGCCGGCAUUGAUUUCAUUCAAGGCGUGAAUACGGCGCUUCCACGGAGCGGUUAGAUCGUGCUGUGACAGUUUCACUCUUUCCCUGCUGGGCACAUGAGAUAACUUGACUACUUCAGCAUUCCAGCUCUGUAGGAAGGAGAGUUCAUCGAUUUUAUAAUUGGACGAGAUAGGGGAUCUUGGAGAAGCGGUCCAGCAGGCUCGGGGAUACAUCGAGCAAGAAGAUGCCAAAUCUCCUCGCGUACACUCGAACUGAUGUCGUCAAGCAGGCUCGUGGAUGCUUCGACUGAGCAGAUGCCAAGCCCCCUUGUACACUAGGUUUCCAUAUUCCAGUUAAACUCAUGUUCCUGAUGCCGCCUACUUCUACUAUAACAUUGGUGCCGCUCGACCAGCAUACUCUAUCUAUGUCAAAGGGUCUCUUAUUCAUCCUGUCCUACUAGUUACAAAAGGUAGAGAUGGCAAAGCUUCUUUUUUGGAGAUGUAUUUUACAGUGUUGAUCUGCAUACAUGGGUGUUAUGGAGUUUUAUGUACGCACCGAGAGGGAUUCAGGCUCCAUGGCGUAACAUCCGCUACCUUGCUACUGCCAUGAUAUUUAUGUAUGCUGUUGUAUAAAGUCAUAAAGAUGAUGUGGAGUUACUCUUUCCCACCUUUAAGUUGAAGAAACAUGAGAAACUAAGUUGCACAAUAAGUCCAUAUAGAAUCGUUUUCUCAUUUUCUACUUAGAGGUGUA